Molecule: ribosomal RNA, 489 nt
Filed under: uncultured organism
Description: bacterial SSU rRNA
Rfam family: Eukaryotic small subunit ribosomal RNA
Source: RNAcentral
UUUAGCGGGCCGCGAAUUCUCCCUUCGAGAGAGGGAGCAUGAGAAACUUCUACCACAUCCAAGGAAGGCUGCAGGCGCGCAAAUUACCCAAUCCCGACACGAGGAGGUAGUGACAAUAUGUAACAAUAUACGGCUUUAUUGUCGUAUAAUUGGAAUGAGUACAAUUUAAAUCCCUUAACGAGGAACAAUUGGAGGGCAAGUCUGGUGCCAGCAGCCGCGGUAAUUCCAGCUCCAAUAGCGUAUAUUAAAGUUGUUGCAGUUAAAAAGCUCGUAGUUGGACCUUGGGCCUGGACAGGCGGACCGCCUCACGGCGUGUACUGUCUUGCUGGGCCUUUCCUCUUGGUGAUCUGUGGUUUCGGCCGCAGGGAACCAGGACCUUUACUUUGAAUAAAUUAGAGUGUUCAAAGCACGCUUUACACCCCAAUUAUAUUAGCAUGGAAUAAUAAAAUAGGACGUGCGGGUUCUGUUUUGUUGGUUUUUGGGAUCGCC